AGUGAACGCUGGCGGUAGGCCUAACACAUGCAAGUCGAACGGCAGCACAGUAAGAGCUUGCUCGUACGGGUGGCGAGUGGCGGACGGGUGAGGAAUACAUCGGAAUCUACUUUUUCGUGGGGGGUAACGUAGGGAAACUUACGCUAAUACCGCAUACGACCUACGGGUGAAAGCAUAGGAUCUUCGGACCUUGCGCGAUUGAAUGAGCCGAUGUCGGAUUAGCUAGUUGGCGGGGUAAAGGCCCACCAAGGCGACGAUCCGUAGCUGGUCUGAGAGGAUGAUCAGCCACACUGGAACUGAGACACGGUCCAGACUCCUACGGGAGGCAGCAGUGGGGAAUAUUGGACAAUGGGCGCAAGCCUGAUCCAGCCAUACCGCGUGGGUGAAGAAGGCCUUCGGGUCGUAAAGCCCUUUUGUUGGGAAAGAAAAGCAGCAGGUUAAUACCCCGCUGUUCUGACGGUACCCAAAGAAUAAGCACCGGCUAACUUCGCG
This 492-nucleotide ribosomal RNA is filed under the name uncultured bacterium. RNAcentral's name for it is "partial 16S ribosomal RNA". It matches the Rfam family "Bacterial small subunit ribosomal RNA", at positions 29 to 507 of the family's 1533-position model. The record is from RNAcentral.